GAGGGAGAGACGCAGACGACAUAGGGCUGUUUCUGAAGGGAGCAGAAAGUGGUUCCUGCAUAAGAACACUUAGGAGGACAAGCAGCUGGAGACCGUGGGCCCCAAGGUAAAAGACAUGUAGUCUCUGCCAACUUCACCCUCCAUGAGGCUUACUGCCUGCGGUUCCUGGUCCUGUGUCCGGAGUGUGAGGAGCCUGUCCCCAAGGAAACCACGGAGGAGCACUGCAAGGUGGAGCACCAGCAGGUUGGGUGUACGAUGUGUCAGCAGAGCAUGCAGAAGUCCUCGCUGGAGUUUCAUAAGGCCAAUGAGUGCCAGGAGCGCCCUGUUGAGUGUAAGUUCUGCAAACUGGACAUGCAGCUCAGCAAGCUGGAGCUCCACGAGUCCUACUGUGGCAGCCGGACAGAGCUCUGCCAAGGCUGUGGCCAGUUCAUCAUGCACCGCAUGCUCGCCCAGCACAGAGAUGUCUGUCGGAGUGAACAGGCCCAGCUCGGGAAAGGGGAAAGAAUUUCAGCUCCUGAAAGGGAAAUCUACUGUCAUUAUUGCAA
RNAcentral lists this long non-coding RNA (545 nucleotides) under Pan troglodytes (chimpanzee). RNAcentral's name for it is "long non-coding RNA NONPTRT006638". The record is from RNAcentral. Lineage: Eukaryota; Metazoa; Chordata; Mammalia; Primates; Hominidae.